RNAcentral lists this non-coding RNA (29 nucleotides) under Mus musculus (house mouse). The record is from RNAcentral. Lineage: Eukaryota; Metazoa; Chordata; Mammalia; Rodentia; Muridae.
UGGUAGACCUAACCCUCAGGUUUGAGAAU